GAACUUUGGAGAUUGAAUGUAAAUCAACACAUGUUGUGUUCAAUUACUUUUUUUUUUUUUUUUUUUUGCUCUCCCAUGGUUUUUCCCCUCUUUUAACUUUUCUCUCCCAACAUGAUUCAUAAAGCAAUGUGUACUAAAAAUUAAUUUUAAAAAAUUAAGUAUAGAAAUACCACAGUGUUCUAGGUAACAUCUAGAAUUAGUUAAAUUUUAUUGGUUAGGCCUCUACCCUUGAAAAUAUGCCUUCCUCUUAAGGCACAUUUUCAGAUUCUUAUUCUUCAAAAUACUGGUAAUUCUCGACUUCCAAAAUAAUAAUCUCAUCAGUUGUCUAUUAGAAACUUGAGGGGAUUUUUUUCUUUCUUUUUGGAAAAAGACAAUCCUUGAUAUUUCUCACCUUUGUUCACUUUUCUUCUAUGUUUUUCAUUGACUUGACUUUUAUGUGUUAUGAACUCCAUAUAAUUUGUUUCAUUAGGGGUUGAGAGUUAACCCCUAUUCAUCUAAUCCCUGAUGUCCUCUCUCUACCCUCCCACAUUGCUACUGUUUUAUAAAGGAAUGAGGAAUCAUGCUAAGUCGGUUUUGCUUCUACAACAAAGUAUCUCUGGGUCAGUAACUACCAGAGUGGGGAGAAAAGACAUAUUUGUAGUAAAAAGCCCUUUUAUAAUCUCCCAAAAUUCCAAAAUCCAAAAAAAUUAGUCCUCAAUGACUUGAAGGUUUACUGAUAGCAACAUUAAAUUGUUUCCUCUGUUUCACCUAAUUCCUAUAGGGUCACAUAAUCUUAGAUUGAAAGGAACUUUUGAGGUCAUCUAGUGCAUGAAUCCCAUCCUUGCCCCCAAACUCAUACUUACACACACAUUCUCAGAAUCACAGAAUUUGUUUCCUUGCUUUUUCCAAUGACAGAAAAUGUGUCACCUCAUAAGGCAGCUCAUUCCCUGAGAUAAUAUCAUCAAAACUAUAUCCACCCUACCCUUAUCAUAGGUCUGACAAGAUACACUAAAUAAUGAUAUAAAAGAGGAUGGAACUAUUAAAUCUCUUCUUUUUUUAAAAAUUCAGCUUUUACCCCUAAAAGUACUGACUGGAUAUGUCUAUUCCUGAGAACAAAGAUUGGACAAACCAAAAUGCAGAAAGGAUCUAAAUAAAAUUAUUUUAUGCUUGAAACAAUUUUCUGGAAAACAGGAAGCAUUAAAAUUAUGGCCAUAUCAUUUGCAUGAUCCAUUUGUCUAGUUUUUAACAGUCUUGGUUAGUUCUCCAUCUCUGUGAUCACUACAUAUAU
This 1267-nucleotide long non-coding RNA is filed under the name Sarcophilus harrisii (Tasmanian devil). Its description in RNAcentral is "lncRNA (ENSSHAG00000024430.1)". The record is from RNAcentral. Lineage: Eukaryota; Metazoa; Chordata; Mammalia; Dasyuromorphia; Dasyuridae.